This 22275-nucleotide long non-coding RNA is filed under the name Gossypium barbadense (sea-island cotton). RNAcentral's name for it is "long non-coding RNA (GBAR_LNC005998)". Lineage: Eukaryota; Viridiplantae; Streptophyta; Magnoliopsida; Malvales; Malvaceae. The record is from RNAcentral.
CCAAGCUUUUAUUCCAUUUACCAUGUUAUACUAUGGCUUCAAACACAAGUGUUACAAGCCCAAUUUGCCCGACUCAAAACCCAUUUCUAUAACCCCUAAAGCCAAUUACAGAUAAACUCAAACCUAAUGACCAAUCUAAAACUAAACCUAGCCCACCAAGCCCACAAUUUUUCAAUUCAAAAAAAUCAAAAGGAAACCCUAGGUGAGCCGCACCUAGGUUUGCCCUUGUCCCAUCCACCACCGACGUCUACCACCACCUACUCAGCACCGCCCCAACUACUCCUGCAAGAUAGACACGCAAACAAUAGUGAAAAUGAUAAAAAAUGUAUGUAAUGGCUUUAUAAAAGCCGAAGAGAGGAGAUUGUUUUUUUUCGGAUUUGGUCUUCGUAAAAUACAAAAAGAAACAUCAUCAAAAGACCUCAAAAAUAUUCACUCAAAUCGCAGUAAGAAAUAAAAGACAGAAUCAAAGGUUUACUUUUUUUCUUUUUCAUUUUUCUUUUCUUUUUUUUUCUUUUCCGAAUUUGUUUAUAUAUUCCGAAUCUAUCCUGCUAAAAACAAUAUAUAUAUUAGAUAAAAUAAAAAAUAAAAAUUCCUAGCUUUUGGCGAUUUCCGGCCACCGUACAGCGGAGCCACGAUGGAGGUGGCCGGACCCCUUUGGCCGGUUCUGGGUUUUUCCCCAGAGAGAAAACAACUCCCCCUUUCCCAUUUUUUUCUUGAAACUCGGAGGAAAUGAUGAUUUCACAAAAAAAAAUUUGCUUUUAUAGCUCCUCGGUAUGGUGUCGUUUUAGGGCAAACAUUCAAUACCCAAAAUGGCGUCGUUUAAUCACCUGACCCUAACUCCGACCCGAAAACCGCCUAGGAUCCGCGUGUUUUUGGACUGAGGAUUUAUUUGCGCCCUCAGUCCCUCCAUUUUUGAGGUCGUUUUCAAUGUAGUCCCAUUCCCUUUUUUAUUUUUUUAAUUUCACCUCGGAAUUUCAUUAUUGUUUCAUCUGGGUCCCUGAUCGAAAGGUGCGUUUUGGAUGGAAGGGUUUUAUUUCCCAUUUGGCCCUCCUUGGUUACUCGCACAUUUGCCUGGGUCUAUAUUUUAACCCCAGCAGUUUAUUUUAUUUGUGAAUUAUCCUCCUUAUUUUAAUUUGAUUUCAAUUAGGUUUUGUUUAGAUUCAUUUUUAUAGUUUUCUCUAUUAUUCGUGUUUAUUGAUAUUGAUUGUAUCAUUGCAUAAUUUUGUUUAUUUAUUUGCUGUAGUCUGAUUAAUUGUAAUUUCACUUUUUAUAUAUUGUUCUAUGUUUUAUGCAUUAUUAUAUAUAUGUAUAUAUAUAUACCUCAAAAAUGAAAUUAACUUUAUUCUAUAUAUUAUUAGUAUUAUAUUAUUCAUACAUAUAACCCCUUUUAUAUUUUAAAUACCUAUACUUGUUGAUUAAAAAGAAAUCACAUGUUUUGUACAUUAGUGAAAUUAUUAUUAUACGUAUACGUAAACAUUGGUGCAUACAUCACUAAACUCAUGUAUAUUAUACCUAUAUUUUUUAUAAAUAAAUAUGUUUCUAAGCCCAUUGUAUAACUUAUAAUAAAACUAAUUUAAUCUUAUAUGCAUUUUCCUUUUAUUCUAAACUUAUUUACAUAUAUAUAAUUUGUGAAUCUAAUGUGUUCCUAAAAUUAUAUUUCAUUAUAUACUUUUAUUAUCUUUGCAUAUUUUUUAAUUCUCCUUUAUUGUAUAUAAGUUGUCAAUUUUAAACCAAUAUUCUUUAACCCUCCGUAUAUUAUUCGAUUUAAAAAUAUCCAUUCCAUAACAUAUAUUUUAAAUGAUUACAUAUGUAUCUCUAGUUUUAAAAUCCAUUAAUUCAUGUGUUAUGUAUUACAUGUUUAUCGCUAUUUUUAAUUUUGUUUUAUACCAUAUUAUUCUUUUAAUUUCCAUUUUGUUUUGUAUAUCUCGUAUUAAUUCUGUUAUAUUGGGUUGUAUAUUAUUGUGGCACAUUAUUGUGAGUAUCGUUUUGUUUGAUUUGUUUUGUUGUGAUGUAUUAUUAUAUUAUCAUUUUCGUCCUGUGUCGUUAUAGCAAUUAUCCUCCAUACAUGAUAGAAAUUGGGUUAUAUUUUUUAGGUUGGUCAUAUUCAAUUGUUUAUUUUAUUAGUUGAUUAUAUAAGGCUACAUUAUCUUCAUUCAUCAAUUAUUGUGUUUGGUGCGUGUAUUGUAUCAUGAUCAUUGUUUUAUUUUUGGUUUACGAAAUAUUGUUUUAUAAGGUCCAACUCUUCAAGAUUAAUUCUUCCAUCUUAUUUCAAGUAAAAUUAAUGCGUUUUAAGCCAGUUUUAUGAUUAAUCAUUUAGAAAUUCCUUAAAACGAAGGCAAUGUUUGAUGUUUGGCAAUUCGAGGAAUCGUGCCCUAUCAUGUUGGGUUGCAAUUUUCUGUUUGUUCGAAACAAUCGAAUAUUCCUUUGGUAUUUCACUCAUGCCUUUAAAAAUUCUCUAAAACGAAGGAAAUGUUUGAUGCUUGGCAAUUCGGGGAGUUGUGCCCUAUCGUGCUGGGUUGCAAUUUUUCGUUUGUUCAAAAUGAUCAAACGUCCCUUUUGAAUUUCACUCAUAUUUUCUAAAUUCUACAACAAGGCAAUGUUCAAUGUUUAGAAAUUCGAGGAAUCGUGCCCUACUGUACUGGGUUUCAUUUUUUUUCGUCGGGCUAAAUAAUUGGACAUUCUUUUAUAGUUUUCAACAUAUAAACUUUUAAAAGUCAAAACUCAUCGUGUUUUUGAGGGUAUAAAGGAUCGUGUCCUAUCGUGCUGGAUGUGAUGCUGUAUUCCUCCGAAACAAGAAAAUUUUGACGACCAACUUGAGCCAUUCAAAUGCUUCAAAACGAACCAUAUUUCAAAAAUAGCUUUAAAACUUAGACAUAAGGACAAUACUUAAUCGAUUUGGUGCCAAUUUUGGGCGUAGUGAGGGUGCUAAUCCUUCCUCAUACGUAACCGACUCCCAAACUUAUUUUCUCAUGUUUACGUAAGCCAAAAUCGAUUUUAAUAAAACAAAGUGUUAUUAGGUGACCCAAUCAUACCUAAAUAAAAGAUUGGUGGUGACUCCACGUUUUGUUUUCAAAAAGUCGAUCCCCGUUUUCAAAAAAAUGGUUUCGACAGCUUGGCGACUCCACUGGGGAUUUCAAUAAGAGAGUCAAGCUAUAAAAUUGAUUAUCUGCUGUCCUUUUGUCAGUUGAUUGAAAAUUUGUUUUGAAAAAUCAUGAUUUCUUCAAUUGCAUUCGAUUGUAUGAUUGUUAUGGCUCGGGUCUUGUAAAAUAACAUUGCAUUGCAUUGCAUGACCGCUGUGGUCACACAUUCUAAGUCGGAGUAAGAAACUAUGCUUUCGUGAGGUUUUCACCUCCGCAUGGGCUAGUGGAUUACUUCCGGGAUACAUCCGUACCUAUGAUUUUGUGAGAUUUUCAUCUCCGCAUGGUCAUAGGGAAAUGUAUUCCCCUGAUCCGAACUCGACCCAUAUGAGCCUAUAAUAGGUAAGGAUCGAGGAAUCUGCUGGCUCGGGUCUCCUUACUCUAGAACCAACCACAUAUAGGGAACCCUAAGAGCCUUCUUUAGGUGGAGUUAGGUUUAAUUGUAGUGGUCGUCCAUAUAAAUACGCUUUGAUUAUCUUUAUUUGCUUGUAUUUUAUUAUUAACACUUGAUACUGACUUGUCUUGUUUUAAUUGUAUUUUGCAUAACAUUGCAUACUAAAGGAGGUGUUGAUUCGUAUUCGAUUACUAAGUUAGAAAGUUUAACAUGGAGAAUGAAUUUCUUGGUAAAGUUAAGGAUAAUGCGGCCGUCCGCGCAUAGUCAGAGAAGUUACAAUCGGAGAAAGGGGAUAGCUUGACAGAAGGAUAUACAUCAGAAUUGCAGGAAUUCACUCGCGUCAAUGUAGCACAGAAUGAGUUGCAAGAGUUGAGAGAUAUCUGGGCUCGUUGGGAUGAAGGAACCAAACAGUUGUUCUAUAAAAGCUAUGGUGAUAUAUCUUACUUGCUAGAUAUUAAGGUGAACAAGCACCUGUUCCGAGUUAUGGUUCAAUUUUGGAAUUCUGCUUACAAGUGUUUCACUUUUGGGGAAGUGGAUUUAGUGCCUACCGUAGAGGAAUAUACUACCCUGCUUAGGUGUCCAAAAAUGCAAGUUAGAAAAGCUUAUGCCAAGGUUUUUAAUGGUCAAACCUUUACGAAGAAAUUGAUGAACAUUUCAGGGAUGAGCGAGCCUUGGGUCAAUCCUCGGAUUCAACAAAAGGGAGAUAGUAAAUGUAUCCCUUGGGAGAAUUUGAGAGAUUUGGUUUUAACACAUCCGGAUGAAAGAAAGAGGGUCGAUAUCUUCACCUUAAGCAUCUAUGGAUUGGUAAUUUUUCCUAAGACUUUAAGGCACGUGGAUGAGACAGUCACUGACUUAUUCGAUCGUCCUGAGAAGGGAAUCACACCAGUACUGGCAAUAUUGGCUGAGACAUUCAAAUCCUUGAGCACAUGUCAGAAGACGGGCGAGGGACAGUUUAUUGGAUGCACACAAUUGUUGAUUGUGUGGUUUCAUGGGCACUUUUGGAAAGUAGACAAGGUUUCUUAUCGGGUCUUUGCUGAAGGUUAUUCCCCGUUGAAAGAUGAGGCAGCCAUACAAAGGAGAGAGGAUAUCUUGGAGGAGAAGUGGAUGAAAAUUCUUCAAAGCCUUAAGAAAGGGGAUAUCGAGUGGAGAGCAUAUUGGAUGGUUCCUGAUGAGAUCAUGUAUCGAUGUGGUAACUUUGAUUGGGUGCGAUUGUUAGGAAUUUGGGGAGCUACGGGUAUACCCCAUUACUUACAUUAAGACAAUAUAAAUUGAGGUAGUUUGUGCCCACAACCUAUGAACUUGCUCAGUGUGAAUUCUCUUUCAAAGGUGCCCACUAUAAAAAGAAAGUUCGGGAGCUAUCCGAUGCUUGGAAGCAAACUCGUUGGAUGAAGAUGAUGGCUGUCGGUUCUAUGGUGACGCCCGAGUAUGAUGGAUGGUUUAAGAAGAGGGUUAAUGAUAAUGUUCCUAGGCCAAGCUUGGAGAAUACUCAACCUAUGGUAGAACAAUUACGAGUCGCCCCGUCAGAGUUGGAAAUUAUAAAACAAGACUUCGAGAAGAAGAGUUCAGAGCUUGGGAAAAAGAUCGAACAAUUGGAAGAAGAGAAGAUGCACAUAAGAUUAAACGCUGAUGUCUAGAGGUCAGAGGCUAAAAAGUGGAGAAAGGGGAAAACUAAGGCCGAAGAGGAUCUAGACAGUUUGAAAACUGACUAUAAGAAGUUACGCCAGUCUAUGAAGACUGCGGGGUUAGGUAAGACUUUCGAACAAUGGCGCCAUGAAAUUCGAGAAGAAAAGACCAAGGCCAAUCGAUGGGAAAGGAAAUUCCGAGAAGCUCAGACACGAAAUGAAGAUCUAAAGAAGAGUCUGUUGGAAAGCAGAAAUGAGCGAGGUGAAUUAAAGGUUAGAGUGGCAAAACUCGAGAAGUCUCUUCAUCAAUACCGAAACCGCAACACCGCAAUGGAAUUGAGGGCGAGCUUGAGCAAGAUAGAAGAAAUGAGAGGAAAAAUAGAAGAAUUAGAAACGUCACUGCAAAACUGUGAUAUGCGGAUUCAGUUGUUCGAGGCAAAUGAGGACCGUUGGAAAGAGCAGCUUAACCAUGCGCAAGAUCAAGUCAGAAAUAGAGAUUACAUUAUGGGAGAAGCCAAAACCCAGAUUCGGGAGGUAACUGAUUACUUGCAAGCUUUGGUAGUACAAGCGGACAUACUGGGAGUGAAAUACGAGUUGGAGUCAGAUCGGAGGCAAGAGCUAGCCUCAUUAUUUAAGAAAAUUAAGGCUAUGAGCAUUAGGGCGAAGUCUUAUUUUUAACUCAAUUUUAUGUAAAGACUUUUAUUUUCUAGUCAAGUUUUCUAAAUGGAAUUGAAUCAAAAUUGAUACCUCAUUUGCAUUCAUGCAUUUGCAUUACAUUACUCCGUAUGCAUUAAAGACCAUAAAAAGAUUCUAAUUAAUUAAAAAUGUUUCAGUAAUCUGGAAACCAACGAAAAUCUCUCAAGUGCACAUCCCUACAGUACAAGAAGAAAAACUUAAGCAAUGGAUAAAAAAUUAGAAAGACUAGAACAAAUGCAGAAAGUGAUGCAGGAGCAGAUGCAAGCACAAGUUCAAGAACAGUUAGCUAAAAUCCAGUAAGAAAUGAGGGAUCAAAUGCUGGAAUCGCAAAGAAGUAUGAUGGAAGAGCUAACCCGACUACUGACUAGUAAGACGGAUAAAGGAAAGAGCCCUAUGACCAAUGUUUGAAAUAACAAUGAAGAUUCCCUUUACCCCCUCUGGUUUUACCCCGGCAAACUCUCAAACGCAACAUGAGAUACACACGCAGAGGCUAGCUGUUAUUGAGGAUCCUCUCUACCCCCCUGGUUUCACUCCGAUGAAUACUCAAAUGCAACCCGAGCUACACAUGCGAAGGCCAUCUGUGACAAUCAGGCCCCAACAAUUACAGGUCGAUACCUUAAUGCCGAUGAACUAUCAGGCUGGCUCAGGUUCUAAUCUGGGGGAUAACCCGACUAACCCCGAUGUUCUCGAUCUUAAUGAUGUAAUAGAAGCGGAAAAGACAAGGGUGGAGCUUCCGAAAGAACUCGAAGAACGGUGUAGAUGGUUGGAUGAAAAAUUUAAAGAAAUAGAAAAUGCUGACUAUCGUGGUGGAAUCGAUGCUAAGGAGUUAAGCUUGAUUCCAGACAUGGUGCUUCCCCCCAAGUUCAAAACGCCAGAAUUUGAAAAAAACAGUGGAAUUAGCUAUCCAGAGGCUCACAUCACCAUGUUUUGUUGAAGAAUGGCAGGGUACGUUCACAAUGAUCAACUGUUGAUCUACUGCUUCCAAGACAGUUUGGUCGGGUCUGCGGCCAAAUGGUACAACCAAAUAAGGCGUGCUUAAAUCCAUUCAUGGAAAGACUUGGCACAAGCUUUCAUGAAGCAAUACGACCACGUGACAGACAUAGCACCCGAUCGAAUCACGUUACAAAACAUGGAGAAAAAACAAAAUGAAAGUUUCAGGCAGUACGCCCAAAGAUGGAGAGAGGUGGCGACGCAAGUCCAACCACCUCUUUUAGAGAAAGAAAUGACUAUGCUCUUUAUUAACACUCUGAAAGCUCCAUUUAUCAACCACAUGCUGGGAAGCGCUACUAAGAGCUUCUCGGACAUAGUAAUGUCAAGAGAGAUGACAAAGAAUGCAAUAAGAUGAAAGAAGAUUGAAACAGGGGAAAAUGCCAAGAAAUCAGCACCGAGAAGGAAAGAAAACGAGGUAAACAACACGAGUAUAUAUAAUAAGAGUUAUAACAAGCCAGUUACCGUGAGCCAACAGAGGACGGUGACUACCAGCCAUCAGGGCUCCGCAAGACAAGAUUUCAACUCAAGGCCUAACACGGAAAGAAUCUAGUUUACGCCUAUCCCGAUAUCCUACAAGAAAUUGUAUCAGAGCUUAUUUGAUGCCCAUGUGAUGUCACCUUUCUACUUGAAGCCUUUACAACCCCCAUUCCCAAAAUGGUACUACACAAAUGCCCAAUGUGAGUACCAUGCAGGGAUAACGGGGCACUCGAUUGAGAACUGUACCACGUUCAAAAAGUUAGUGGAAAAACUCAUCGAAAUGGGUGUCAUAAAGUUUGGUGACUUACUAGGUCCCAAUGUAGCAGGAAAUUCGUUACCCAUCUAUUCUAAUAAAGGGGUAAACACGAUAGUCGAGAGUGGGAGCAAAAGAAUCAAGAUAGAUGUAUCAGAGGUAAAAAAUCCCUUUUAAAUGGGUUUGGGAGAAGAUGGUGGAAGGAGGUUUAGUCACACGACAUCCAAGGAAAAGGCCUAAAGAAGCGAGAAGAUACUAUGAGUUUCAUGCCGAUAAAGGCCAUGACAUCCAAGAGUGCAAUAAGUUUAGGUCCAUAGUGCAAAAUCUGAUGGAUAAUAAGGAGAUGGAAUUUUAUGAAGAAAUUAGAGGAUUAAAGGAAAGAGAGGUUUACGCUACAGAGGAGGGAACAACCGAAGGGGUCCAAAGAGUUAAUCAUCCUGUAGUGAUCAUUUCGCGACCCAGGAACAAUGAAGCAGGAGUACAACUGGCGCCGAGAGUCAUAAUCCAGAAGCCGAUAUCCUUCCCAUACAAGGAUAGCAAAAAGGUUCCUUAGAAUUACGACUGCAACAUGACAAUCCCCGGGGGGAAAAGUACGACAAGUGUUUCACAAGAGAACCAAGAUGUAGGUUUCUAUACACGCAGUGGGAGACAUUAUGAUCCUGCGAGUACAAAAAAUGAAACCGUUAAAGAAAAAGCCCUAAUGGUUGAGCAAAGGAAUGAGAAGACGGUCAGGUUCGAAUCGCCAGUCAAUGAGUCGGUAACUAAGAAUGAAGCUAGGGAAUUCCUAAAAUUUUUAAAGCAUAGUGAGUACAGCAUCGUUGAAUAGCUACGCAAGCAACCGACUCGCAUCUCAGUGCUAGUCUUACUUUUGAGCUCAGAAACGCAUCGGAAUGCGUUAAUGAAAGUGCUGAAUAAGACUUAUGUCUCGAAUGACAUCUCUGUUAACAAACUGGAUCAUCUGGUUAACAACAUCAGUGUUGAUAUUUUUAUUUUCUUUAACGAUGAUGAAAUACCACCGAGAGGUAUGGGGUCCACAAAGGCUCUCCACAUUACCACACGUUGCAAGGGAUUCACAUUGCUGGGGGUAUUGAUUGAUAAUGGAUUGGCACUAAAUGUCCUACCUCUAUCCACAUUAAAUAGGUUGCCUGUGGAUAGUUUCCAUAUGAAAACAUGCCAAAAUGUAGUGAGGGCGUUCGAUGGUACCGAAAGGAAAGUAAUGGGGAGGAUGGAAAUACCCAUUUUAAUCGGCCCUAGCACGUACGAGAUAGAUUUCUUGGUAAUGGACAUCAGGCCUUCUUAGAAUUGCUUAUUGGGAAGGCCCUGGAUUCACUCAGCAGGGGCAGUGCCAUCAUCAUUACAUCAAAAGCUCAAAUUUAUAACGGAAGGUCGAUUGGUGACCGUAAAUGCAGAAGAAGAUAUCUUUACAUCCGUUACCAGCAAUGCACCGUAUGUGGGGACAGAUGAUGAAGCCAUAAAAUAUUCUUUUCAGUCGUUAUAAUUUGUAAAUACGACCUUUUUUGUCGAAAGAAAUAAGAUUCCGAUGCCCAGAAUCUCCAAAACUACAAGAAUGGGCCUACAACUGACGGUUGGGAAAGGAGCUUUGCCAGGGAAAGGGCUUGGAAGAAGCCUACAAAGAAAGGUUGAAGCACCUAUGCUCAUGGACAAACGAGACCGCUUUGGCUUAGGAUUCAAGCCAGAUGCAAAACAAAGGAGAAAAGAGCAAGAGAAGAAACAAGAAAGGAAAAGAGUGCGUUUAAGCGGGGAAGAGGUUAAGUGGGUGCCGAUGACCUUUCCUCACAUAUCCAGAACAUUCGUAUCGGGAGGGACUAUUCACGCUGAAGGAAUAUCGACAAGGAAAGUAUUUACUGAAGAAAUGUUGGAAAACUUAAGCAUUAAUGCCACAUACGAAGAGGGAACUGAAGUAGAGAAUUUGUCGGGCAUUCGCCCUUAUGAGCCGAGAAGUGUUCUGAAUAAUUAGACUGCAGAAGAGAUUCCUAUAGUCCUUAGAACUAACACAGAGUAAUGUCCAAAACACACCUAUUACUCUAGGCCUAGGAGUAAUAAGUGACCUUUUGUGAAAUAGGCUUGUGUUCAAAAUCGUUAUUUCAAUGAAAUGCAUCCUUUUUUCUUAUCUCAUGCAAAUAUUCUUUUAUUUUUCAUUCAUAAUCAUACUAUACACAUCAUUGUUCUUAGAUUCUUUGGUUCUUUGUAUCUUUCUUUAUACAUACAACAGGUCUCCAAAUAUCAACGAUAUGAGCGACGUUGCUACUAACUCAAAGUCUCCUUUUGAGCGGGAUAUGUGUUUAGAGGGAUCUUAUAACUUCGAAGAUGACAGAGACUGUAACUUAUCCCCUGAUUUGCUAAGGAUGGUAAAACAAGAAGAGAAACAGAUUCUACCUCACAAAGAGUCAGUAGAAGUCGUGAAUUUGGGAGAUAACCUAGAAAAGAAAGAAGUAAGAUCGGAGCUGGCAUUACCACAGAGAUAAAAUAGGACCUAUUUGAGUUACUCCAAGAGUUCAAGGAUGUCUUCGCAUGGUCAUAUCAAGAUAUGCCUAGGCUAAGUACUGAUAUUGUAGUACACAGGCUCCCCAUUAAAGAAGAAUGCAAGCCAGUUCAGCAGAAGCUCCGAAGGAUGAGUCCGGAUGUUUUGCUGAAAAUAAAAGAGGAGGUCAAGAAGCAAUUCGAUACUGGUUUCUUACAAGUAUUUAAGUACUCAGAAUGGGUGUCCAACAUCAUCCCUGUCCCUAAAAAAGAUAGAAAAGUACGGAUGUGUGUAGAUUACAGGGAUCUAAACAAAGCCAGCCCAAAGGAUAAUUUCCCGUUGCCUCAUAUUGACACCUUAGUGGAUAAUACGGCUGGUUACUCACUGUUCUCCUUCAUGGAUGGUUUCUCAGGGUAUAAUCAGAUCAAGAUGCAUCCUGAAGACAUGAAUAAAACCACAUUUGUAACCAUGUGGGUAACCUUUUGCUAUAAGGUGAUGCUUUUCAGAUUAAAAAAUGCGGGAGCAACAUAUCAGAGAGCCAUGGUAACCCUGUUCCAUGAUAUGAUGCACAAAUAAAUUGAAGUAUAUGUUGACGACAUGAUUGCUAAAUCCUGGACAGAAGAAGAGCAUGUGCAAGUUUUGAGGAAAUUAUUUUUGAGGUUGAGGAAGUUCCAAUUGAAACUCAAUCCAGCAAAAUGUACCUUUGGAGCCAGGUCAGGGAAACUGCUAGGAUUUGUAGUCAGUGAAAAAGGAAUUGAGAUUGACCAAGAUAAAGUCAAAGUCAUACAAGAUUUUCCUCCGCCGCGUACUCAAAAGGAAGUUCGGGGAUUCUUAGGGAGACUAAAUUACAUCGCUCGGUUCAUUUCACAGCUAACCGAGAAAUGUGACCCCAUAUUCCGUCUCCUUAAGAAACAUAACCCUGGUGUUUGGGAUACAUAGUUUCAGAAGACUUUUGACAAGCUUAAGCAAUAUUUGUCUAAUGCCCCAGUGUUGACACCAUCUAAUCCAGAUAAGCCACUGAUACUGUAUUUGACAGUAUUUGAAAAUUCUAUGGGAUGUGUACUUGGCCAACACGAUGAGUCAGGAAGGAAAGAAAGAGCGAUAUAUUACCUCAGUAAGAAGUUCACCGAGUGUGAGACGAGAUACUCGCCAAUUAAAAAGUUGUGUUGUGCCUUAAUUUGACAACCUGAAGGCUGAAACAAUACAUGUUGUACCACACAACUUGGCUGAUUUCUAAAUUGGAUCCUCUAAAGUACUUGAUGGAAUCAACUGCUUUAAAUGGAAGAAUGGCCCGAUGGCAAAUUCUACUUUCUGAAUUUGAUAUCGUCUAUGUAAAUCAGAAAGCUGUAAAAGGGAGUGCAAUAGCAGAUUUUCUAGCCAGUAGAGCUCUAGAGGACUACGAGCCUCUGAACUUUGAUUUCCCAAAUGAGGAUCUGAUUUACGUGGCAACCACUGAAGAAAACCCUCAAAAAGGUCAUCCUUGGAAACUAAACUUCGAUGGAGCAUCAAAUGCUGUGGGUAACAGAAUUGGGACAGUCUUGGUAUCCCCAGACGGAGAUCAUUAUCCCUUCAUUAGUAAAUUGGAUUUUGACUGCACGAACAAUAUGGCGGAAUACGAAUCGUGCAUCAUGGGCAUCCGUGCAGCCAUAGAACGCAAGAUUAAAGCACUAGAAGUAUAUGGAGAUUCUUCACUAGUGAUUUAUCAACUCAAAGGUGAAUGGGAGACGAGAGAUCCCAAAUUGAUCAAUUACAGAAAUCUGGUCCUUGAAUUAAUUAAAGAAUUUGAGAUAUCGUUUUCUGCUAUCUCCCUCAAGAAGAAAAUCAGAUGGCCGAUGCCCUAGCAACUUUAGCCUCUAUGAUCAAGGUGAACAAACAAGAAGAUGUGAAACCGAUCCAAAUGAGUAUUUACGAGGCUCCAACUUAUUGUUACAACCUCGAAGAAGAAGCAGAAAAUGAUGAUCACCCUUGGUACCACGAUAUCCUGCGGUAUGUGAAGAAUCGUGAGUACCCCGACCAAGCUACUGAAAACGACAAAAGAACAUUGAGAAGACUGGCCAGCGACUAUGUCUUGGACGGGGAGAUCCUAUAUAAAAGAAGGAAGGAUCAGGUACUGUUAAGAUAUGUAGACACUAUUGAGGCUAAGAAAAUCUUGAAAGAAGUUCAUGAGGGCGUCUGUGGGACACACGCUAACGGCUUCACAAUGGCUAGGCAAAUUAUGAGAUUUGGUUAUUAUUGGUCCACCAUGGAAGGAGACUGUAUUAACUAUGCCAAAAGAUGUCAUAAGUGCCAAAUUUAUGGAGACAAAAUUAAUGUGCCUCAUUCACCUCUGCAUGUUAUGACUUCUCCAUGGCCUUUUUUUAUGUGGGGCAUGGAUGUGAUCGGGCCAAUUUCACCAAAAGCUUCAAAUGGGCAUCGAUUCAUCUUUGUGGUUAUCGAUUAUUUCACCAAGUGGGUGGAGGCCGCUUCAUAUGCUAAUGUUACAAAAUCAGCAGUUAGCAAGUUCCUAAAGAGGGAGAUUAUCUAUCGAUAUGGAAGCCAGAAAAGAUCAUAUCUGACAAUGCAUUGAAUUUGAACAAUAGUACAAUAACAGAGGUCUGCAAUCAAUUCAAGAUCAGUCACCACAACGCGUCGCCAUAUCGCCCGAAAAUGAAUGGUGCAGUCGAAACAGCCAAUAAGAACAUCAUGAAGAUUGUGGGAAAGAUGACCGAAACUUACAAAGAUUGGUAUGAGAAAUUACCGUUCGCCCUCUAUACUUAUCAAACAUCCAUCAGGAGCUCUACUGGGGCAACUACUUUCUCAUUGGUCUAUGGAAUGGAGGCGGUUUUACCCAUCGAGGUUGAGAUUCCUUCCCUCAGAGUUUUGGCAGAAGUAAAGCUGGAUGAGGCAGAGUGGAUCCAGUCCCGAUAUGAUCAGUUGAAUUUGAUUGAAGAAAAGAGGCUAAAGGCAAUCCGUCAUGGUCAAAUGUACCAAAAACGGAUGAUGCAAGCCUACAAAAAAAAGGUUCGUCCCAGAUAAUUCCACGAAGGAGACCUAGUAUUAAAAAAGAUCCUACCUAUACAAAAAGACUUCAGAGGAAAAUGGAUGCCAAAUUGGGAAGGACAUAUGGUGAAGAAAGCCUUUUCUGGAGGAGCAUUAAUAUUGACCGAAAUGGAUGGCAAGACCUUACCCAAUCCUGUGAAUUCAGAUUCGGUUAAGAAAUACUUCGCCUAAAAAAAAGGGAAGGAAAAGCCAAUGUGAAAACUCACAAAAAGUACCUUGAGACCAAAGGGAUUUUGAAUUGAAAACCCGUAAAGGGCGAUUCAAACUUGGAUAGUUUGGGCCUGCGGUACUCUUGUAAUAUCUGAAUUAGCAAGAAGGAGAGAUGUUACAUCUUGGGGCAUCAACAAGAGUACUCUAGAUCCCCUAAACACAUAUUAGGCUCAAAAAAGGGUCUUUAAGAAGUUCAUACUGGGAAGUUCAUGCUACGAUAGUUGAGGCACCUGUUUUCCUUUUGUCUUCUAGCAAUGUUUAUGUUUUGUGAUUAAUCUAUUCCUUUAAAAUUUUGUUUCUGAUAAAUUUCAGUUCUGUCCAUUGUUACGAUCUUUCUCAAGCUUUUUGCAUUGAAAUAACGACUAAUGGACUAAUGACAUUUUGCAAAAAGAGUUUUGAAUAUUACUUUGAAAGUUUCUAAAUAAUACAGGAACCUGAAAUAGGACUAUUAUUUAGAGCUAACCAAACCCAAGGAUUGGAAUAUUUGAGAAGGAAGAGUUAAAUUGGGACUACCACUUCGGAUUUUCCGUCCAAAAUCUAAGAUGAACAAGAAGACAGGAUACAGUUUCAGUGACAGAACCUUGAUGAACAAAAAGCAUUAGCAACCCAAACAUUAAAAAGGGGUCAUUCUCAUAACAUACCGCACUCAUGCAGAUCAUUCAUGACAUACCUAGUUAGGAGCAUUCUGAUUCAUUUCGAUCAUAGCAUCCUAAUUAUUUGGCAUAAGCAUAGGUAUUUGAAACCGAUUCUACAGAUCAUACCCCUAGAAGAUGGUGUAACAAUGUCUGAAAAUUACAGAUCUUGUCCCCCUAAGCAGUAGUGGAACAGAUCGAAGAUGGUGAGCCUCAACCCCCUAAACAGUAGGGUAAUAGGCUGAAUUAUAAAUCAUUUCUUCCUGAAAUGGCGUUGGAGCGGCUCAAAGUCAUAGCAGAUCUCAUUGAAGUUUCAGGGAGUGGAUUGAAGUCACAAGUCUUAUCUCCUUGAAGUUGUAGUGGAGCAGACUAAAGAAAGCAAAUCUUAUUUCCCUGAAGUUGCAGUGGAACAGAUUCAAGCUAUAAACCACAGAUCUCAUCUCUCUGAAGUUGCAGUAGAGCAGAUCAAAACAAGUCUUAUCUCCUUGAAGUUGUAGUGGAGCAGACUAAAGAAAGCAAAUAUUAUUUCCCUGAAAUUGCAGUGGAAUAGAUUGAAGCUAUAAAUCACAGAUCUCAUAUCUCUGAAGUCGCAGUAGAGCAGAUCAAAACAAACUCUAUUUCCUUGAAGUUGCAGUGGAACGAUAGAGCAGAGCAAAGCGACAAGAUGCGGUGGGUUGAACGAGGCUACCUAAAGAAGAGAGGCACCAAAGAAGUCAAGAUUUGGCGGGACUGGGCAAAAUUGGUCUUUCUUAAAAGUCUUUGCUCUGUUCUCAUUACACGACAACGAGCAAAGAGGGGCAGCUGUUACAAGCCCAAUUUGCCCGGCCCGAAACCCAUUUCUAUAACCCCUAAACCCAAUUACAGAUAAACCCAAACCUAAAGCCCAAUCUAAAACUAAACCUAGCCCACCAAGCCCACAAUUUUUCAAUUCAAAAAAAUCAAAAGGAAACCCUAGGUGCGCCGCACCUAGGUCUGCUCUUGUCCCAUCCACCACCGACGUCUGCCACCACCUACUCAGCACUGCCCCAACUACUCCUGCAAGAUAGACACGCAAACAAUAGUGAAAAUGAUAAAAAAAUAUAUGUAAUGGCUUUAUAAAAGCCGAAGAGAGGAGAUUGUUUUUUUUUUCAGAUUUGGUCUUCGUAAAAUACAAAAAGAAACAUCAUCAAAAGACCUAAAAAAUAUUCACUCAAAUCGCAGUAAGAAAUAAAAGACAGAAUCAAAUGUCUAUUUUUUUUCUUUUUCAUUUUUCUUUUCUUUUUUUUCUUUUCUGAAUUUGUUUAUAUAUUCCGAAUCUAUCCUGCUAAAAACAAUAUAUAUAUUAGAUAAAAUAAAAAAUAAAAAAUAAAAAAAUUCUUAGCUUUUGGCGACACGGUGGCCGGCACUGCGGAGCCACGGUGGGGGUGGCCGGACCCCUUUGGCCGGUUCUGGGUUUUUCCCCAGAGAGAAAACAACUCCCCCUUUCCCUUUUUUUUUUGAAACUUGGAGGAAAUGAUGAUUUCACAAAAAAAAAUUUACUUUUAUAGCUCCUCAAUACGGCGUCAUUUUGGGGCAAACAUUCAAUCCCCAAAACGGCGUUGUUUAAUCACCUGACCCGGACUCCGACCCGAAAACUGCCUAGGAUCCGCAUGUUUUUGGACUGAGGGUCUAUUUGCGCCCUCAGUCUCUCCGCUUUUGAGGAUGUUUUCAAUGUAGUCCCAUUCUGUGACAGCCCUAAUAUGACCCUAGUCGAAAAGUGGUUUCGGGACCACAAAACCGAGUCCCAAAAAUAAUUAAAUGUUAUAUUCUGUGUUUAUUUCAUGUGAAAGUGCAUAUGUGAAAAUUUCAUGCUUUGAUUUUUCCAUUUGUGAAAGAAAUUAUAAAAAUAGGACUUAUGUGAAAAUUUCUGAAAAUGCUAUAGGCUAAUUUGUAGCGGCCAAAUAAUUUGUAGAGCAAAAUAGGAGGAUUUGCAUGUCAAACCUCCCACUUUUAUGUGUAAUGGCCGGCCAUCUUGUUAAUGGUAGACAACAUGUGCAAUUUUUUUAUUGAAGUUAUGGCAUAAGUAUGGCACAAUUAAUAUAUGCCAGAUAUGUGUCAUAAAAGGUUAAAUAAUAAGAAUAACAAAAGGAUGGAAAGGACAAAGUUUGUCCAUCUUUGUUCAUCAUAGCCGAAAAUAGGAGAGCAAGAGAGGAGGAAGCUCUUGAAAAAUUCGGUCACUUGGCGGAAGAAGAUGCAAGGUAAGUUCAUGGUAGUUUGCUUCUAUCUUGAUGUUCAUGAGUUCUUCUUGAUUUUACCUUAACUCAUGAAGCAUAUUUUGAUUUUUGGUUGUGUUGUGAGCAUUCAGUCAUGAAUUGAAAUGAGGGAAAUGGUUGUUGUUUCAUGUUCUUUUGAUGAAAAAUGGAAGAUAGGUGAAGUUGAGCCAAACAAAUGAGCAUGCAUGUGCCUUAGAUGCUAAGGGGGAAAAUCGGCUAAUAUGUUGUGUGUAUUAUGGCCGAAUGUGAACUUGGAAAAUAUUGAGUAAUGUUUGUGCUUUAAAAUGAUGAAAUGGAGAUUAUGCUUAAGUGAAGUUAUAGGUAUGUGAUGAUUGAUUUGUGAUAUGCAUGUUUAAAUAACGUGCAUGCAAGUUAUGUGUGAAAGAGUGAAUUGGUAAUAAAUCUGCUUGGAACAGCAGUAGUAACGUGAUUUUGGAAAAUCCCCAUAAAUUGUGAGAGAUGAGUUAGAAGCUGAAUAAAUUAUUUAAUUAAAUCUUAAUGAGUCUAGUUUCUUAUAAAAAAACCGUGUAAGCAAAAGAAUUUCCGAUAAUGAUAUAUUUGAAGUGAUGUGGGACAGGGUCAAAAUGACUUCUAGAUCCCCUGUUCUGUUUUUAUAAAAUCAUUAUAAAUUGUACACAAAUGGUUAUAAGAUGAAGUUUAUAUGCUUAGACUCCUUAAUGAGUCUAGUUUCAAAUGAAAUAAACGAUAACAUAUUUUUAAUUCUGUACAAUGAGAAAUUUGAUUCGUAGUGAAGAGUGGUCAGAUUAGUCAAAGAGUGAAACAAGGGAAACUUUAAGAAAAAUCUGGUAUUUAUUGGCCAAACCAAAAAUUCUGAAAAUUUUAUGGAUAAAAUAUAUAUGAGUCUAUUUUCAAGUAAAAUUAACGGAACUUGAUUUGGAGUUUCGUAGCUCCAGUUAUAAACUGUUGCUCAGGAAGAUAGCUUGCAGUAAAAUUAUGAUUAUGUGGUAAACAUUGACAAAAAUUUGUUAAUGAGUUGCUUAUUGAUUUCUUAUAAGCUUAUUAUGAUCAGUAAGUGUGAAAGUCGAAUAUAUAUAUUAUAUUUUUGAAAGUGAUGCUUGAAUAGUCGAAUAAUGACUAGUUUAAAAUCUUUGAAUUUAAGCUCAAGAGCAUAGAGGGGUAAAUUCGGAUAAGGGAAAAAAGAAAAUAAUCAAAUAGCCGUUGUAAUCGUUCGGCAACAUUCGAGGUAAGUUCCUAAGUGUUUAAGCUUGAUUCCUUUUUAUAUGCCUAAGAGUUAAAUUAAUAUGGCAAAGAGAAUGUAAAUUUUAUUUAGUUAAUGUGUCGAAUAUGUAAUGAUUUAAGGCUAUAAGCCGAUUAUGGCUAUUAUGCUUAAGCUGAAUUGGAUUUGGAAAUUUGAUGCACUAAAUGAGUGUUACAAUGAAUAAACUAUGCCGUAUAUGUGCUGGUAGAGAUAUCACGAUUUGUGAUUAUUAAAUAUCUAAAGGAAACCAUGAUGUGUAUAAAAUUAUUAUUAUUAGUCCUUUGUGGUAGCCGAAUGUGGCUUGGUACUAAAGUGAUUAAAUAUGAACUUCGAUGAGGUAACUGUUAGUGAUCGGUGAUAUAAGUUAUGCAUUAUAAUAUAUAUUCGGGUUUCAAACCUAACAGGCGUAAUGCAGUGAAAUGACAUCGGACUUAAAGGUCUAGCAGGCUUAUGGCCGGUGAUGAAAUUAGGUUAUUACCUAGCAGGCAAAUUGUCGGUAAACUAUUAAAAGUGUGGUGCUAUAAGACUAUGGGCUAAUACGAUAUGUGAAUUUGUUCCGUAAAGUAAAUUAUUCAGGUACGAACAACCUAAUUAAGUACAUGUGAAUUAAAUGAAUUUGAUGAUUGAUAUGAAUCGAACAUAUAAGAAAUGGUUUCAUGUUUAUGUUCAACUAUAAGACCUUGUGUUAAAUACACAAUCGAUUUCGUUCAAUACAUUAAGUUGGUCAGGUAUGCGAUAUGUACUUAUGCAUGUUAAAUCGAUUGGAAUUGAAUCAUGAAUGUGAAUUGAGAAGCAUAGGUAAAAAUUCCUAUGUCAUAUAUGUGAGUAAGGGUAAAACCAUCGUAAAUUAUUGAUAAGGAUGGGCUAUGUGCGGAACCAUCUUAUAAUUGCUAAUUUGAAAGGUUGUAUGCGAAUCAGUGAGCAAGAUGUAUUGUAUUGAGAUGAUGCUUCAGUGAAAAUAUACAUAUGUUUUUUGUGUUGAAUGAAUAUUAAAUUAAAGUUAUGAGCUGUUUGUGACUAGCAUAUCUAGUCGAAUUUGAUACUAUUAACUGAUGUACUAAGAUAUGUGUUCCAAUGUGGAAAUUAAACCCUAUAUGGUUGAAAGGAUGAAAAUCUUUGUUCAUAGAUAUGUGUUUCAGUUAUACAUGAUUGAAGUAUAAGUUAUGAAAGUGGGAAAGAACAGGUGAAUUGUUUAUCGAAAUAUGAUAUCGGGCUUCGGGCCUAGCAGGCUAUGAUGCUGGUGAAAUAUUAUUCGGGCCUUUGAGCCUAGCAGGCUAUAAUGCCAGUGAAAUGAAAUGUUAUGUGAAUUCGGUGUUCCUUGUAAGAUAGGGAUUUAGCCGAAUGUUAAAGAUGAAAUGAUAGUGUAUUGUAUCAUGCUUAUAUGGCCUAAUGGCAAGUAUAACAUGUUGGUAAAUAUGCAAUGUGCUUUUAUAAUCGAAUGAUAAGUUUGAAAUGAAUGUGAGUGAAAUGUUAUGCAUAAGCUAUCAAAUGCUAAGUGUGAAAAUGAGAUGAAAGAAAAGUGUUUGAGAUGUAUAAUUAUAUACGUUCGAAUGAUGUUAGUACUUAAUUGAUAUGAAUAUGUUAUAUGGAACUUGUUGAUUUGAUUAUUCGGGCCUUUGAGCCUAGCAGGCUAUAAUGCCGGUGAAAUGAUAUCGGGCCUCGAGCCUAGCAGGCGAAAUGCCGGUGAUUUGAGAAAAGUCUAAGACUAAGGUACCUCGUGUUAGAUUGACAAAUGAAUAUAUUCAAUACGUUAAGUGGGCCAGGUACGCAUUAUGUACUCAUAUGUGAGUUUGAUUUGAAGUGAAUCAUAAGUGUGUAAUGUGAUGUAUAUGUGAAUAAAUGUUAUAACUAUAUCUAUGAUCAUGAUACAUUUGGUCAAGGUGUGAAAGUAUGUGAUGGUAUUUGAUUUAUUUAUGUUAUAUGAAUUCAGAUUAAGUGUUAUAAGAAUGCUGAAUGUGCAUUAUGUGCAUGUGUAUAUUCGGCCAGAUGGCAACAUACCUAGAAUAUGGCCGCUUGAGAAAUUGAAUAAUCGAAGUAUAAUUGCGUUUAUUUGUUUGCAUUGCUUAAAACUUUCUAGGCUUAUGAAAGCUUACUCCGUUGUUAUAUUCCUCUGUUUUAUAGAUUGUUGACUCCAGUUACCUGCUCGGGUUGGAGUUCGCCGGAGAUAUUAUCACACUGUCGAGCUCACGCUAUUGGUGUAAGUAAAUCCUAGUAUUUCGAGUCUAUGGCAUGUAUAGGGUUUUAAUGUUGAGUAUGUGAUAUUAUAAUUUAGCCAAAGGUGUUGGCUUGUAUUGAUAAAGUGUUUUGGCCAUGUGAAUUGGCCUAUGUUGGCUAGUGAUGUUUUGGGCCUCGUAAGCCCAUAUAUGAGACACAUUUCAUGUGAAAAGAAAAGUUUUAAAUUGAUUGAAAUUUUUCGGCACGGUUUUUGUGUGAUUGACUGAGUUUAAGUCGGGUAACACCUCGAACCCUGUUCCGGCGAGGGAUUCGGGCGAGGGGUGUUACACAUUCCCUUUUUUAUUUUGUUAAUUUCGCCCUGGAAUUUCAUUAUUGUUUCAUCUGGGUCCCUAAUCGAACGGUGCGUUUUGGAUGGAAGGGUUUUACUUCCCAUUUGGUCCUCCUUGGUUACUCGCGCAUUUGCCUGGGUCCCUAUUUUAACCCCAGCAGUUUAUUUUAUUUGUGAAUUAUCCUCCUUAUUUUAAUUUGAUUUCAAUUAGGUUUUGUUUAGAUUCAUUUUUAUAGUUUUCUCUAUUAUUCGUGUUUAUUGAUAUUGAUUGCAUCAUUUGCAUAAUUUUGUUUAUUUAUUUGCUGUAGUCUAAUUAAUUGUAAUUUCACUUUUUAUAUAUUGUUCUAUGUUUUAUGCAUUAUUAUAUAUAUGUAUAUAUAUACCUUAAAAAUAAAAUUAACUUUAUUCUAUAUAUUAUUAGUAUUAUAUUAUUCAUAUAUAUAACCCCUUUUAUAUUUUAAAUACCUAUACUUGUUGAUUAAAAAGAAAUCACAUGUUUUGUACAUUAGUUAAAUUAUUAUUAUACGUAUAUGGUAACCUUGGUGCAUACAUCACUAAACUCAUGUAUAUUAUACCUAUAUUUUUUAUAAAUAAAUAUGUUUCUAAGCCCAUUGUAUAACUUAUAAUAAAACUAAUUUAAUCUUAUAUGCAUUUUCCUUUUAUUCUAAACUUAUUUACAUAUAUAUAAUUUGUGAAUCUAAUGUGUUCCUAAAAUUAUAUUUCAUUAUAUACUUUUAUUAUCUUUGCAUAUUUUUUAAUUCUCCUUUAUUGUAUAUAAGUUGUCAAUUUUAAACCAAUAUUCUUUAACCCUCCGUAUAUUAUUCGAUUUAAAAAUAUCCAUUCCAUAACAUAUAUUUUAAAUGAUUACAUAUGUAUCUCUAGUUUUAAAAUCCAUUAAUUCAUGUGUUAUGUAUUACAUGUUUAUCGCUAUUUUUAAUUUUGUUUUAUACCAUAUUAUUCUUUUAAUUUCCAUUUUGUUUUGUAUAUCUCGUAUUAAUUCUGUUAUAUUGGGUUGUAUAUUAUUGUGGCACAUUAUUGUGAGUAUCGUUUUGUUUGAUUUGUUUUGUUGUGAUGUAUUAUUAUAUUAUCAUUUUCGUCCUGUGUCGUUAUAGCAAUUAUCCUCCAUACAUGAUAGAAAUUGGGUUAUAUUUUUUAGGUUGGUCAUAUUCAAUUGUUUAUUUUAUUAGUUGAUUAUAUAAGGCUACAUUAUCUUCAUUCAUCAAUUAUUGUGUUUGGUGCGUGUAUUGUACCAUGAUCAUUGUUUUAUUUUUGGUUUACGAAAUAUUAUUUUAUAAGGUCCAACUCUUCAAGAUUAAUUCUUCCAUCUUAUUUUAAGUAAAAUUAAUGCGUUUUAAGCCAGUUUUAUAAUUCUUCCAUUCGUGUCAUAGUCACUAAAUUAUUUUUAAUUUGAGCUAAAGAGAUCCAAAUUAAGAUCCGUAAAUUUUCCCUGAAACUUGACUCACAUAUCUUUCCACCAUAAAAUCUUCAGAAUUUUUAGUUUAGCCAAUUAGUACAGUUUAUUCAUUAAAGUUUCCCCUGUUUCACUAUUCGACAGUUCUGACCUCUCUUCACUUAAAAUUAAUUAUCUCACAGUACAGAACUCGGAUAAUGUUCUCGUUGAUUUAUAUUGAAAAUAGACUCAUUAAGAAUUCUAAAAAUAUAAUUUUGAGCCUACAAUUAUUUUUCUCCAAAUUUUUGUGAUUUUCCAAAGUCAGAACAGGGGAACCCGAAUUUAUUCUGACCUUGUCUCACAAAAUUUAUUAUAUCUCAUAACUUACAAUUCAAUUGCUUACACCGUUUCUUCUGUAAGAAACUAGACUCAAUAAUCUUUAAUUAAAUAUUUUUUUCAUCAUCUGAUUCAAUUUCUACAAUUUAUGGUGAUUUUUCAAAAUUAACCUACUGCUGCUAUCCAAAACUGUUUUAGUUCAAGAUGUUUAUUACCAUUUUUCCUCUAAAUUUCACUGGUCAUACAAUUCAGUCCUUACUCAAUUAGCCCAUCACUUAAGCUAAUUUUUCUCAAUUAACAUUUUAUUCCAUCAUUCUAAACUAUUACACAACCUUUAAAAAUCAGAAUUUCAACACUAAACCUUAAUUCACAACUUUUUCACAAUUAGGUUCUAAAAUCAAUUUCUAUUGAAAUUACUUGAUAAAAUCAUCAAACAACAAAGUAAAAGCUUCAAAUCUAUUUUAUUUCAUCAUAAACAGCCAACACUUAUCAAUGGUAGCUUUCAAUUUUUUCCAUAAAAUCAAAAACUAAUGAAUUAAACACUUGGACCUAAUUGUAAAAGUCACAAAAGCAUAAAAAUCUCAAAGAAAAGGGAAAGAAUUGAACUCACAUAUGUCAAAGUAUGAAAAACAGCAACUUUCAGACCUCCCAUGGCUUUUUUGCU